CUUGCUCUUGGGUGACGAGUGGCGGACGGGUGAGUAAUGUCUGGGGAUCUGCCCGAUAGAGGGGGAUAACCACUGGAAACGGUGGCUAAUACCGCAUAACGUCGCAAGACCAAAGAGGGGGACCUUCGGGCCUCUCACUAUCGGAUGAACCCAGAUGGGAUUAGCUAGUAGGCGGGGUAAUGGCCCACCUAGGCGACGAUCCCUAGCUGGUCUGAGAGGAUGACCAGCCACACUGGAACUGAGACACGGUCCAGACUCCUACGGGAGGCAGCAGUGGGGAAUAUUGCACAAUGGGCGCAAGCCUGAUGCAGCCAUGCCGCGUGUAUGAAGAAGGCCUUCGGGUUGUAAAGUACUUUCAGCGGGGAGGAAGGCGGUGAGGUUAAUAACCUCGCCGAUUGACGUUACCCGCAGAAGAAGCACCGGCUAACUCCGUGCCAGCAGCCGCGGUAAUACGGAGGGUGCAAGCGUUAAUCGGAAUUACUGGGCGUAAAGCGCACGCAGGCGGUCUGUUAAGUCAGAUGUGAAAUCCCCGGGCUUAACCUGGGAACUGCAUUUGAAACUGGCAGGCUUGAGUCUGUUAGAGGGGGGGAGAAUUUCCGG
This 600-nucleotide ribosomal RNA is filed under the name Pantoea agglomerans. Its description in RNAcentral is "bacterial SSU rRNA". It matches the Rfam family "Bacterial small subunit ribosomal RNA", at positions 73 to 673 of the family's 1533-position model. The record is from RNAcentral. Lineage: Bacteria; Pseudomonadati; Pseudomonadota; Gammaproteobacteria; Enterobacterales; Erwiniaceae.